AAUUUUGGACAAUGGGGGAAACCCUGAUCCAGCCAUCGCGCGUGUAUGAUGAAGGCCUUCGGGUUGUCCAGUACUUUUGGCAGCGUAGCAAAGGUACCUCCUAAUACGAGGUACUGCUGACGGUAUCUGCAGAAUAAGCACCGGCUAACUACGUGCCAGCAGCCGCGGUAAUACGUAGGGUGCAAGCGUUAAUCGGAAUUACUGGGCGUAAAGCGUGUGUAGUCGGUUCGGAAAGAAAGAUGGGAAAUCCCAGGGCUCAACCUUGGAACUGCAUUUUUAACUGCCGAGCUAGAGUAUGUCAGAGGGGGGUAGAAUUCCACGUGUAGCAGUGAAAUGCGUAGAUAUGUGGAGGAAUACCGAUGGCGAAGGCAGCCCCCUGGGAUAAUACUGACGCUCAGACACGAAAGCGUGGGGAGCAAACAG
RNAcentral lists this ribosomal RNA (423 nucleotides) under uncultured bacterium. Its description in RNAcentral is "partial 16S ribosomal RNA". It matches the Rfam family "Bacterial small subunit ribosomal RNA", at positions 360 to 775 of the family's 1533-position model. The record is from RNAcentral.